AAGAUUCUCACCAUAAGGUCCACCGGAGUGAAUAAGGUUGCAGUCGUAAUAGCGUUGAUUAGCGUAGUUCUGUGCAUAGGCAGCCACGGUCUUGUCCCAAAUCAUAGGGCCAACACCGACGGCUGCUCGAGCUGCAUUGUGAGCAUUGAGGUAGUCUUGUGGUGAGUCCCCUCCCAAGGCUAGGUAGUCUUGUUGUGAGUCUUGGGCUUGGGAGGGAAGGACUAGGUAGUCUUGUGGUGAGUUUUGGGCAUGGGAAGGAUGGACCAAGGCUAAGGCUAUGAGAGAAGUAAGAGCUACUAAAGUAAACUCCAUUUUGAAGUUUGAUUCUAUAAGAAUAUUGCAAUGAAGAAAAGUUGAAGUAUGAGAUGAAUUUUAUGUGUUUUGAGAGAGGUAUUUAUAGACGUUGCUGUUUUGGCACUUGAAUGUUCAAACUAGAUUAAGUGCAUAAAUUAACGCCACAAAAUUG
This 466-nucleotide long non-coding RNA is filed under the name Gossypium barbadense (sea-island cotton). RNAcentral's name for it is "long non-coding RNA (GBAR_LNC019343)". The record is from RNAcentral. Lineage: Eukaryota; Viridiplantae; Streptophyta; Magnoliopsida; Malvales; Malvaceae.